Molecule: non-coding RNA, 148 nt
Organism: Homo sapiens (human)
Lineage: Eukaryota; Metazoa; Chordata; Mammalia; Primates; Hominidae
Rfam family: Metazoan signal recognition particle RNA
About the family: The signal recognition particle (SRP) is a universally conserved ribonucleoprotein. It is involved in the co-translational targeting of proteins to membranes.
Source: Rfam
GCUGGGUGUGGUGGCGUGCACCUGUAAUCCCAGCUACUCAGGAGGCUGAGGCAGGAGAAUUGCUUGAGCCUGGGAGGCGGAGGUUGCAGUGAGCCGAGGUUGUGCCAUUGCAUUCCAGCCUGAGCAACAGAGUGAGACUCUGUCUCAC